UGGGGAAUUUUGCGCAAUGGGCGAAAGCCUGACGCAGCAACGCCGCGUGAGUGAUGAAGGUUUUCGGAUCGUAAAGCUCUGUCAGAGGGGAAGAAACUCCCGGGCGCUAAUACCGCCUGGGCUUGACGGUACCCUCAAAGGAAGCACCGGCUAACUCCGUGCCAGCAGCCGCGGUAAUACGGAGGGUGCAAGCGUUGUUCGGAAUUAUUGGGCGUAAAGCGCGUGUAGGCGGUUGUUUAAGUCUGAUGUGAAAGCCCCGGGCUCAACCCGGGAAGUGCAUUGGAAACUGGGCAACUUGAGUACGGGAGAGGGAAGUGGAAUUUCGAGUGUAGGGGUGAAAUCCGUAGAUAUUCGAAGGAACACCGGUGGCGAAGGCGGCUUCCUG
RNAcentral lists this ribosomal RNA (385 nucleotides) under uncultured bacterium. RNAcentral's name for it is "bacterial SSU rRNA". It matches the Rfam family "Bacterial small subunit ribosomal RNA", at positions 355 to 731 of the family's 1533-position model. The record is from RNAcentral.